Molecule: ribosomal RNA, 770 nt
Filed under: Flavobacterium sp.
Lineage: Bacteria; Pseudomonadati; Bacteroidota; Flavobacteriia; Flavobacteriales; Flavobacteriaceae
Description: bacterial SSU rRNA
Rfam family: Bacterial small subunit ribosomal RNA
Source: RNAcentral
CAUGCAGUCGAGGGGUAUAGGUUUUCGGAUCUAGAGACCGGCGCACGGGUGCGUAACGCGUAUGCAAUCUACCUUUUACAGAGGGAUAGCCCAGAGAAAUUUGGAUUAAUACCUCAUAGUAUUAUGAAAUGGCAUCAUUUUAUAAUUAAAGUCACAACGGUAAAAGAUGAGCAUGCGUCCCAUUAGCUAGUUGGUAAGGUAACGGCUUACCAAGGCAACGAUGGGUAGGGGUCCUGAGAGGGAGAUCCCCCACACUGGUACUGAGACACGGACCAGACUCCUACGGGAGGCAGCAGUGAGGAAUAUUGGACAAUGGGCGCAAGCCUGAUCCAGCCAUGCCGCGUGCAGGAUGACGGUCCUAUGGAUUGUAAACUGCUUUUGUACGAGAAGAAACACUACUUCGUGAAGUAGCUUGACGGUAUCGUAAGAAUAAGGAUCGGCUAACUCCGUGCCAGCAGCCGCGGUAAUACGGAGGAUCCAAGCGUUAUCCGGAAUCAUUGGGUUUAAAGGGUCCGUAGGCGGUUUAGUAAGUCAGUGGUGAAAGCCCAUCGCUCAACGGUGGAACGGCCAUUGAUACUGCUAGACUUGAAUUAUUAGGAAGUAACUAGAAUAUGUAGUGUAGCGGUGAAAUGCUUAGAGAUUACAUGGAAUACCAAUUGCGAAGGCAGGUUACUACUAAUUGAUUGACGCUGAUGGACGAAAGCGUGGGUAGCGAACAGGAUUAGAUACCCUGGUAGUCCACGCCGUAAACGAUGGAUACUAGCUGUUGG